GUGUUUCAGCAAAAGCAGAACAUUCCAUGGAGCCUCACAGAGGGCUUUUGCCGUGGGACAGGGUGGACUAACCAGCUGUCAGCUCGUACUGUAAGCAAAGCUUACAAACUGGCAAGACUCUAAAAAUAGGAAGGGGAACAGAGCCCUUCUGCUUCAGGGCAGCGGAACACAGUCCCAAGACUUCUGCUAUUCAUCCCUUCUGCAACGUGUCACAACACGACGACCCCCACAGCACUGUUUGGUCAGAUUUUGUGACAAGUGAUAGAAUCAUAGAAUAACCCAAGUUGGAAGGGACUCACAAAAACCAAGUCAGUCAUCUUAUGGAAACCGUCCUCAGCGGCUCGCAUCAAGAACACUCCUGCAUCCUUCAGAAAGCUGCUCCACACUCCCACCUAUCUAUCCCUUGGGGUUUUGGCUGCACGGAGAUGCAAACAGGAUAUCCAUCAACAACUCUCACCCAACCUCAGCAUUCCCACUGAGGCACUGCAGCCAGCAGGUACUAACAGAGAUACUGAAGGAGCUGUUACCAUACUGGCUUCAAAAAUUGCCCAAAGAGCCCCCAAAUAAAUGGGACAGCUUACAGCAGCUAUUGUAGUCCUCACUUUCAUAGGUCUUUAAUCAGAAGAAGGCAAUGACAGGUGAGUUACUCUGCUCCAAGGGUGGGGAAUUUGCAAGGAGGACAAACCUCUCACAAAACAUCCCUGCCCUUUGAAGGGUGCCAUUCUUCUGGGAGCUCUGGGCAGGCUCACAGCUACUCCAAUAUUUGGUAAUUUUGAGACAGAAGACUUUUCUGUCAUGGUUUUUAAACUCUUUCCCUGAGCUUAAAGAAAUAACCUUGACAUAGAUGGAAAUCAAAAAGAAGAUGCAUUUGCCAUCAGAAGUCCUUCAUCAGAGCAUAAAUAUUUGCUUAUGACAGCAGAAUGCUUUGAGUAUUUGCCAACCACGAGAGCCAGGCAGCGUCAUCCCUAAGGUGCCCAUCGGCACCAAACCUGGGAGAUGGAGAUGUCAAUGAAGGGAGACAGGAUGGGGAGCAAAUCUCCUUGAACUUUCACAGUAAUUGCAGGGCAAUAACUGCUGCCUCCAACCACUCAGACCCUGUUGGACUUGAGCAAAGAGCAGAGCAGAGCCAGUGCCAAGAGAGCCAACUUCACAGGAAUUUUACCAUCACGUUUCUGCCAGAACAUCAUCUGCCAGGCAGUGCGUUUGCCUGAAGGCAUCAACCCAGCACUGCUGUUUUCUCUCCUCUGCACGUGUCCACUGCAUGUCAGUAUGCAGGAGCUGUUCACACCCAGCCCAACUGCCUGUGCUCAGAGCCAGACCCUACAACGUCCUGCUAUCUCUGGCAAAAGGGGGGGCAAACAUAAUUAAAAGAUGAGGCUUACUUUCCAGGGGAGUCAAUCUGCUGACAACACACGCAGUUAAGAACAGCAGCAGCGAGCCAUGGGAAAGCUGCCAUUAGGCUGGGAGCUGCAGUGCCUGGGGUAAGGAGUCUCAUUAGGAGGCACCCCACAGCACAGCCUGUCCAUGAGUGACAUGGGCAGCUCUUUCACUUCGCAGUUUGGGAAGGAACUGUAGUAUAACAAGGGUAAGUCAACACCACACGUAGCCUCGAGCUACAACUGGGGCCUCAAGGUGAGACGUAAUUUAGCAAACAAGUUAUUUACCUGCAAACAAGCCACAUACAGAUACUGCUUUAUGAGCUGUGUAGUGGCUUCUGGACAGGUAAGCAAGAUGUAGACAUGGCAGUCUGAACAUCUACCAACAGCAAAAGUGGAUCCUGGAUAAAACAGGCAGCUCUGCAACUAGGAGGCAAGCAAGACCCCAUCCUGGCUGCACAAAGGCAGUACUGGGACACAUCCUGCCAGCUUUCUUCCUUUUCCACAGCGACUGUUAGACCACCUCUGAAGAGCCUCAGCCACACACACCCCCAGACAGGAACAGAGGGGCAGGCAGACCUGUGAACUUACCGGAUUAGGCCCUGAUAACUUGCUCUGGGAACCGUCCAGUCCUUUCUCCAUUGGCAUGAUUGUUUGCUGAAGCAGAUGUUUCAGAAAGUAUUGGAACGCUUGGAUAUUAAAGCUCCAUCUGCACUUCGUUCAGCAGAAGCACCUGACUGCCCAAAUGCCCACGGUGCCCUCUUGAACUUCAGUGGGUUUGCAUUUCUGUGCAGGUCAGAAGCACGGUUGUGCCAGCCAAGACUUGCCUUCUGCCACCUCAUGCCACUCUGCAUCCAAUUCUGUGGCUCUCUGAAGGUUUACAUGGAUGAGAGUUUUUAUCCUCUCCUUCCAGCCACCCCAUCUUCAUCUUUUGCCUGGUUGCCUUCCAGCUCUUUUUGUUUAACGAGCUCUGCUCUCUGCAGCCCUUUUUUCCCUUCUCCUCACCAGGCUCCACUCCUCCAGUCCGUAGCAGGCAGACAACACACGCCCACACCUACAGCUCUUUCCAUCUUGAGAUCUUCAAAACCACUCUGUGAACUUCUAAGACCCCCAGAAGAGCUGGUAGAAGCCAACACACGGCUCCUGCCCUUCAUUGUAACACCAAGGCCACGUCUGUGUGUUGGAGCAGCUGAGCAGAGGAACUCCAAGGGGCAAAGUCACAGCAGUAUUUAGGACAGAUUAACUAAAAGACAACCCUUGAAGUGCAAGCUAACAUUUUUUCAAAGGCUUGUAAUGUAGUCACAAGGCAGAGCGUUGUCAGCAAGUCCCCCUGGCAGAGCAGCCAAAGUACUGCAAGGAGCCAUCCAUCACUGCUAACACUGCAGAACAAACAAGCUUCCCCCUGCUUGCUCUCUGCAGCAUCUGGACUCAUUUCCUCGCCAGCCCUGCAGCAGGCCUCUAGCAGAGAACAUCUCUGGAUCAAGAAGUUAAAUUUGGGGUACAAUUCUAAGCCACAGAGAAGCAAAUACCUCAGAUGGGAAGCAUUGUGCAACCCUAGAAACAGACACAGUUGCUCAACCAGUUGUAAAAAUAGCCACAGGCCUGCACCACUGCUUGCACUGCAGCUCAGCUCCUCCCAGCCCUGUGAGAUGGAUGGAGUUUUCAGCCAAGAAAAGCUCUGUCACUCCUUGGAGUGCAUGCAAUUUACAUAGCACUGCUCAGCUGAAAGCCUGCCCCUUUUUUUCCAUAAAAAUCUGAACUUCCUCUGUUUGCACAAGGCCUGGGAAAGCCGCAGCUCUCACCAGCAUUAGUCCCACAUGCAUUACAGCAUGGCCUCACAUGGAGGAAAUUCAGUUUGUAUUUUCAUGAUUAGAUAAUGUCUGUAAUCCCGCAUAGCUGAAGAGCCACAGCCCAUAAGGUCAACAGCAUGUACGGAAAGCAAGACCCACACGCUUGGAUCUUAUCACAGUUCACAGCAAUCGGCCAGUGGGAAUCAAACCUAAUAAAGCAGAGUGGUGAACAGGUUGCUCAAACUGAUAAAAGGAUCGGAAAGGUUUUGUAUGCUAUGCACACAACAGAGAUAUGAAGAGACAUUCAUCUACACAGACACAAGAGAUUUGUCCUCCAGCACAACCUUUAAGGUACACACAACGCAAGAAGCCUGAAGAAAGAUCUUGGAACAGUUUCUCAUCCAUAUUCCCCAUGGCACUGAGAGGCCCAGCACAACACGCUUCAACAACACCUUGGUAAAGAAACAAAGCUUUAUUUUGUAGAAGUUGGAGAAAAUACUUAAAAAAAAAAAAAAAACACAAGCAAGGAGUUGUCAAUAGGUUCAAACAGCACCUGCAAACAGCAAACAACAAACCGACCCCCCCAGCUCUGAUCCAGCACCCACAUGCCAAGAGCAGAGCACAGCCCCGCGCAGCGCAGCCACCAGAUGCAUCCUCCCUGCUGUGGGCUGGGACACCCCGAGUUCAGACAUCCCCAGCAGGCAGAAAGCAUGCAGCCACCACAAGCCCUGGGAACAACCCGUGACCACUGAGAAGGAGGAGUAAAGCAC
Long non-coding RNA from Gallus gallus (chicken), 3936 nucleotides. RefSeq lists it as uncharacterized. NCBI's taxonomy places the organism in Eukaryota, Metazoa, Chordata, Aves, Galliformes, Phasianidae. The transcript has 2 exons. The record is from RefSeq and is a predicted model, not a curated record.